AACGAACGCUGGCGGCAUGCCUAACACAUGCAAGUCGAACGAAGGCUUCGGCCUUAGUGGCGCACGGGUGCGUAACGCGUGGGAAUCUGCCCUUAGGUUCGGAAUAACAGUUAGAAAUGACUGCUAAUACCGGAUGAUGACGUAAGUCCAAAGAUUUAUCGCCUGAGGAUGAGCCCGCGUAAGAUUAGCUAGUUGGUGUGGUAAAGGCGCACCAAGGCGACGAUCCUUAGCUGGUCUGAGAGGAUGAUCAGCCACACUGGGACUGAGACACGGCCCAGACUCUUACGGGAGGAAGCAGGGGGGAAUAUUGGACGAUGGGCGCAAGCCUGAGCCAGCAAUGCCGCGUGAGUGAUGAAGGCCUUAGGGUUGUAAAGCUCUGUUAACCGUGAUGAUAAUGACAGUAGCGGGAGAAUAAGCCCCGGCUAACUCCGUG
RNAcentral lists this ribosomal RNA (433 nucleotides) under uncultured bacterium. Its description in RNAcentral is "partial 16S ribosomal RNA". It matches the Rfam family "Bacterial small subunit ribosomal RNA", at positions 29 to 507 of the family's 1533-position model. The record is from RNAcentral.